Long non-coding RNA from Oncorhynchus tshawytscha (Chinook salmon), 982 nucleotides. The record is from Ensembl. Lineage: Eukaryota; Metazoa; Chordata; Actinopteri; Salmoniformes; Salmonidae.
GGGGAGAGAGAGGGAGGAGGGAGAAGGAAGGGAGGGAGGGAAAGGAGGAGAUGGGGGAGGAAGGAGGGGAGAGAGGGAGGGAAGAGGGAGGAGGAGAGGAAGGGAGGGAGGAGGAUGAGGAAGGGAGAAAGGAGGAGAGGGCGAAGGAGGAAGGGAGAAAGGGAGGGAGGAGGAGAGAAAGGGAGAAAGAAGGGGAGGGAGGGAGGAGGAGAGGGAGGGAGGGGGGAGGGAGAGGAGAGGAAGGAAGGAGAGAGGAGGAAGGAGAGGGAUGAGAGAGAGGGAGAAGGAGAGGGAGGGAGGAGGAGAGAAAUGGAGAAAGAAGGAGAGGGAGGGAGGGGAGAGGGAGGGAGGGAGGAGGAUAGAGAGAGAGAGGAGAGGGAGGGAGGGAGGAGGAUAGAGAGAGAGAGGAGAGGGAGGAGGAAGAGAGGAGGUAGGGGGAAGGGAGUAGAGAGAGGGAGGGAUCAGAGGGAGGAGGAGAGAGAGGGAGGGAGGAGGAAGGGAGGAGGAUAGAGGAGAGGGAGGAGGAAGAGAGGAGAGGGAGGGGGUAGGGAGGAGAGAGGGAGGGAGGGAUCAGAGGAAGGGAGGAGAGGGAGGGAGGGAGGAGGAUAGAGAGAGAGAGGAGAGGGAGGAGGAAGAGAGGAGGUAGGGGGAAGGGAGUAGAGAGAGGGAGGGAUCAGAGGGAGGAGGAGAGAGAGGGAGGGAGGAGGAAGGGAGGAGGAUAGAGAGAGAGAGGAGAGGGAGGAGGAAGAGAGGAGAGGGAGGGGGUAGGGAGGAGAGAGAGGGAGGGAUCAGAGGAAGGGAGGAGAGGAGGAGAGAGAGGGAGGGAUUUAGGAGGAGGGGAGAGGGAUGUGGGAGGAGGGGAUGAGGGGAAGGAGGGAGGAGGUCCAGGGCAGAGUCUCUCUCCCUCUCCUCAUGCUUCCACACACUGAGGCCUCCUUGGGACGGAUGGCAACAACCUCUUCAUAGGGCAGCAGUAGAACCU